RNAcentral lists this ribosomal RNA (274 nucleotides) under uncultured bacterium. RNAcentral describes it as "partial 16S ribosomal RNA". It matches the Rfam family "Bacterial small subunit ribosomal RNA", at positions 523 to 796 of the family's 1533-position model. The record is from RNAcentral.
AUACGGAGGGGGCUAGCGUUGUUCGGAAUUACUGGGCGUAAAGCGCGCGUAGGCGGAUUGAUCAGUCAGGGGUGAAAUCCCGGAGCUUAACUCCGGAACUGCCUUUGAUACUGUCAAUCUUGAGUUCGAGAGAGGUGAGUGGAAUUCUUAGUGUAGAGGUGAAAUUCGUAGAUAUUAGGAAGAACACCAGUGGCGAAGGCGGCUCACUGGCUCGAUACUGACGCUGAGGUGCGAAAGCGUGGGGAGCAAACAGGAUUAGAUACCCUAGUAGUCC